AAACACUUCACACUUUACACUCACUUCCUUUAGCAACAAAGUCCCGAGUCUCCACUUUUCUUAUCCGAGUGAACAGAUUCAUAUCAUCGACACACAAUCUCAGGAUGCUUUCACUCUUUCUCAUUGUCUCUCUGAUGCUUUCUGGAGCUGUAAGUGCUUCACAUCAUCACUCCCGGAAAUCAUCCUCGAGCGAUGAGGGGUUUUUCCAUCACUACCCAGUACAGCGGCCGAACUGGUUUAACAUCCUGUGGCCGUACUAUCCAUGGAUUAUUCCACGCCUGGCCCCUGGUCCUGGCCCCGCCCCUGGCCCUGGUCCUGCCCCUGGCCCCGGCCCCGCCCCUGGUCCUACACCUGGUCCACCCAUCACCACUGCAAACCGUGGAGACAGCGUCUAAAUCUCGUCUAGACUCGGAUCUCUCCUGAACAAAUUACAGAAAAAAACUCAGAGUUCAUGACCAAGUAGAUUUAAAGAAGAUUUAAGUGUUUAAUAAACGCAGUAGAGAUGAGGAUGUGUAAGUGAUACACUCACAGAUAAAAAAAACAUUCCUUCCAGUUUCCUUCUCAUUUAUCCGGAAAUUCCAUGAUCAUCGCUCCUCAGUGAAGUCUUACUGAAACCUUUAACUCCUUUAUCACUGAAUUUGUUUGUUUCUUUGCUCUUGGUCAUAAACUCAGCCUUUUUUUUUGUCCUGUAUACUCUCACACACACAGUUGAGACACACACACACACACACACAC
Hemibagrus wyckioides is the source of this 735-nucleotide long non-coding RNA. RefSeq lists it as uncharacterized. The transcript has 4 exons. The record is from RefSeq and is a predicted model, not a curated record. Lineage: Eukaryota; Metazoa; Chordata; Actinopteri; Siluriformes; Bagridae.